RNAcentral lists this ribosomal RNA (120 nucleotides) under Aotus nancymaae (Ma's night monkey). Lineage: Eukaryota; Metazoa; Chordata; Mammalia; Primates; Aotidae. The record is from RNAcentral.
AUCUAUAGCCGUAUCACCAUGAAUGUGCCCUAUCUCAUCUGCUUUUGUAAACCUAAGCAGGGUCAGGCCUGGUUAGUGCUUGGAUGGGAGACCUCAUGGGAAUACCAGGUGCCGUAGGCU